RNAcentral lists this ribosomal RNA (441 nucleotides) under Micrococcus luteus. RNAcentral describes it as "bacterial SSU rRNA". It matches the Rfam family "Bacterial small subunit ribosomal RNA", at positions 1027 to 1466 of the family's 1533-position model. Lineage: Bacteria; Bacillati; Actinomycetota; Actinomycetes; Micrococcales; Micrococcaceae. The record is from RNAcentral.
CGGGUUCACAGGUGGUGCAUGGUUGUCGUCAGCUCGUGUCGUGAGAUGUUGGGUUAAGUCCCGCAACGAGCGCAACCCUCGUUCCAUGUUGCCAGCACGUAGUGGUGGGGACUCAUGGGAGACUGCCGGGGUCAACUCGGAGGAAGGUGAGGACGACGUCAAAUCAUCAUGCCCCUUAUGUCUUGGGCUUCACGCAUGCUACAAUGGCCGGUACAAUGGGUUGCGAUACUGUGAGGUGGAGCUAAUCCCAAAAAGCCGGUCUCAGUUCGGAUUGGGGUCUGCAACUCGACCCCAUGAAGUCGGAGUCGCUAGUAAUCGCAGAUCAGCAACGCUGCGGUGAAUACGUUCCCGGGCCUUGUACACACCGCCCGUCAAGUCACGAAAGUUGGUAACACCCGAAGCCGGUGGCCUAACCCUUGUGGGGGAGCCGUCGAAGGUGAC